GCCUGGGUGGCUCAGUUGGUUGAGCAUCCGACUUUAGCUUGGGUCAUGAUCUCGUGGUUCAUGGGUUCAAGCCCCAUAUCGGGCU
RNAcentral lists this transfer RNA (85 nucleotides) under Felis catus (domestic cat). It matches the Rfam family "tRNA". Rfam says of the family: Transfer RNA (tRNA) molecules are approximately 80 nucleotides in length. The record is from Rfam by way of RNAcentral. Lineage: Eukaryota; Metazoa; Chordata; Mammalia; Carnivora; Felidae.